UUAAAAAAAACAUUAAAAUUGGAAUGAUACAGAGAAUACCAGCAUGUCCUCUGCACAAGAGUGACACACAAUCCUGAAACGUUCCAUAUUAAA
Molecule: small nuclear RNA, 93 nt
Organism: Lynx canadensis (Canada lynx)
Lineage: Eukaryota; Metazoa; Chordata; Mammalia; Carnivora; Felidae
Source: Ensembl